UUUGGUUUUCCUACCCCAUCCUGAUGUCUUUCACAUGUUUCCCAGCCCUUGUGUCACCUGUCCCUUGUUAACUCUUGUUUACUUGUGUAUUUAGCCUCUGUGCUUUCUGUGUCAGUCACCAUGACAAUAAAAACAGAAACUAACUGGACCCCAAACGAGACAAACAACACGGCAUCUGAAAACAACAAUGGAGAAGAAAACCAGAAGGCAGGUGGAGGAUCAUCGUUAUGUCUCUCGGUUUGGCAACACUCAUAACAAGUGUUGUGGUGGUCAACAUAUGGGCAAGAGUUAAAGGCGCAUGAUGAUGAAAAUGAAGGUACGGAAGGAUGCAGAACGUUGCAGAGCCUUCUACGCCUGUCUGAAUCCACUGAUCAACAUCCUCAACCCACCACGGAGUCCACUGCUGUUAAACAUCAUCUCAUCAUAUUUUAUAGAUAACUAAAUAAUGUUUAUUUAUAUUUCAGUCUGAGCUGGACA
Etheostoma cragini (Arkansas darter) is the source of this 477-nucleotide long non-coding RNA. RefSeq lists it as uncharacterized. The record is from RefSeq and is a predicted model, not a curated record. Lineage: Eukaryota; Metazoa; Chordata; Actinopteri; Perciformes; Percidae. The transcript has 3 exons.